AUCAGGUUAAAAACAUCAAGAGAAAAAAGUAAUCAUGUGGUUAAUAAGAGAGGGAUGAUUGAUUCAUAGCCCUUGUGCUCCAUUAAUACCUCUUCAAUGCCAAGAGAACUGGAGAAGUGCUUCCCCUGCCCCAAAGAGAAGACAAUCAUUGGAGUAAAGACAUCUUAUAAAGUGAUAGUGGUGGAAAUAUUAAAGGGCAACCUGAGGGGAGAAAGAAGGGACUUCUGUUGCCAGGUGUUGUGAGGACCAAAUGGGAUAAUGGAUUUGAAAAAACUUUAUAAGAGGCAUGGAAAUCUGGAUGAAAGACAAAAGUCAGAAUGACUGGUGAUGGCUCAGGAUGCAGUGAAUGACCAUGAUGUAAUCAUUGUGUGACCAAGCUCUAAAUGCCUCACAGCAUCUGCUUCAGCUACUUUCAUGGACAUUGGAAAAAAUUGUUCUCAUCUGUUCAUUCCACUGGGGAAAUCCUCAUAUGCUUGGGGUAAACAUCCCUCUAACACACCAGUGGGUUUGGGGCUCAUCAUUUGCCCUCAACCUAGUUUAGCCCAUUUCUCGAGAUGUGGUCUCUGUGCAUGCUUCUUGGAAUCACAGGAACAAGUAGAACUUGUUGCACACCAAAGAUGUUUAAUCAAGAUUUGUGGUCAUGUAGGUCAGAACAAAAAGAAAACCUUACUAGGAUUGAUGCAAUGAAGAGAAGGGAGAUUCUUUGAGUUCCUUGAAAGGGAAUAA
Molecule: long non-coding RNA, 726 nt
Filed under: Monodelphis domestica (gray short-tailed opossum)
Lineage: Eukaryota; Metazoa; Chordata; Mammalia; Didelphimorphia; Didelphidae
Description: lncRNA (ENSMODG00000043981.1)
Source: RNAcentral